UAUAUAUAUAUAUUAUAUUUAAAAUUUAUUUUACUUUACUUUUAAUUUUUUGAGACAGGAUCCAGCUGUGUAGGCCAGGCUGGUCUUGAACUCACAGUGAUCCACCUGCCUCAGCCUCCCAAAUGCUGGGAUUAUAGGUGGGCAUCAGCAGGCCCGGUGGAAUGUAGGGGUUUUUGAAAGCUUAUUAUUAUGUGGCCAUGCAUCGCACUCGAAUCCACCCCACCACUUUGCACGCAUGCCCGCCCGCCUCCUGCAGUAGCUCUGGAGUGCUCCCUCCUCAGGGUCUCCAGCCGCAUUUUCCGGGCUGCCUCCAUGUCCCAAUGUAGUCUGAACGUUCCCACAUCAGUCAUCUCGACACUGGGGAUGGCAGAGUGUGACAGUGGCCACUGCACUGAGUCCAGCGGCUGAGGACAGAUGCGAUGUUGCAUUUUUUUGAGGUGUCUUUCUGUUGGACAGUGUUCACUGAGCUUUUAUACACAGGAGAUUACAGCUGGUAACCGGGUGCCCUUGACAUGUGAGGAACUUCACAGCACACCCCAUAACCUCCCCUGUGCAUAGAGCCCGGACCAAGCCCUGAGGAGCAGCACAGGGGCAGGCAGGAAGUGGGAAGCCCAACACUGUGCCUGGGCUGUGCAGUGUCACACUGCCCGUGAGGAGACAUCAAACUUUUUUUUUUUGUCUCUUUCCUUUUUAUCAGUACUAGGGAUCGAACUCAUGACUGCCUGCUUGCAAAGCAGGCGCUUAUGCUGCUGAGCUAAAUCCCCAGCCCUGAGACAUCAAACCUAACGGCCAAGCAGCUGCGCCUUGACCAGUCCAGGUCCCAGUGCGCAGCCAAGAUGCUGACAUUGAAAGAGAAUGCAGGGAACUGGGAACCUGGGGAGCUCAGAUCAGUGCCUGGGAAAGUUAUUCCCCAAUACAAUGUCAGGAGAAGAAACAAUGUGAUGAACGCUGGGAAUGGGGCCGGUCUCCCAGCCAUCAGGCAGCUGAGGCAGGAGGGCUGCCAUUUGAGGCCCACCGGGACAACUGUUCAAGACCCUGUUUUGCAGUAAAAAGGAACGAGGGUGUCACUCUGGCAGAGCCUCUGCUGAGAAUGUGUGGGCUCUGGGUCCCUUCCCCAGCAAGAGGUGCUUGCCCACAGAUGGACGAUAGCAUGGACGGGACAGGACAGGAUAGGGGGCUGAGAAUCAGGUGGGUGGGGUGGAGAGGCAGGCGCUGGACAGCCUGGAGCAGCAGCUGGGGCCUGACCACCCACCGCUGGGCCAGAGGGGCUGCCCAGGAGACCCAGGAGAUGGAGGUUCAGCCAGCCCCUCAGGAACUGCAGACCUCCUGCCCGCCUGGAGCUUGAAAGGCAGGGGUCACUGCCCCAGGGGCCCUCAGAGCAGAGACCACAGUGGGCCUUGCACAGCCUGAAUACUCAACAGCCUCCUUCCUUAGUCUGCACCAGGGACGCCCGCAGCGGGCGCAUGCUAGGCACAGGACAGGAAGGGCUGGACUGGGGCAUGCUGCCUGCACCCCCAGGUUCCCAGCAGCCCAAACCAGGUCACAUGGGAGAUGAUCCAGGUGGGCUUAGAAGUGAACAAAUGCCUGCAUCUGGGCUGGGCAGCUAUAUGGUCACAGCCCCAGUGCACCUUCUGUGUCUGUGUCAAACAUAGCAACCUCUUCUCCCACCACUGUCCCUGCAGCAGUGAACUGUGAGGACCAAGUGUGCCAUAACCAUGGGUGACGCAGACUGGCUUUAGGAGGACUGGCUGGGUCUGAGGACACAAGGGGCUCUGCUGUCACUCGGUGUCCCUGAGGACACAGGGCUCCUCCCAAGCCAGCACACAGGACCUGCUGGGGCUGGAGGCGCCAGGGGUCACCUGGUCCUGGCUACUCUGGGUAGGCUGCGAAGGGUCAGGCUUCAUGCUCGAGAGGCGCUCAGCAUAUGUCUGCGGGCAUCUCCCCCGCAUCCUGUUUAGUGUCAGUCAUUUGUUCACAGGCUCGGCAGGAACGUGAACGCUGGACACUGGCCCAUGCGGUCCCAUGAUGAGCCACCUCGGGGACAGGACUCAACUGUGAAUAUGGAACUCACGGGUGUCUCACACACAGCUCAAGCCUGGCAUGGUGGCACACGCCUGGAAUCCCAGCACUCAAGAGGCUGUGGCAGGAGAAUCCUGAGUUCAAGGCCAGCUUAGCAAGACUCUGUCUUACAAUAUACAAUAACUUUGUGAGGACCCUAGAAUCUGGGCGCUCAGCACUGGAGUCAAGAAGUCAUAGCAAAAGGUACCCGGGGAGAAAACAAACACUGACAGCACAUUUUAAAAAUAGCACCGUGACCAGGGAGGGGUUACCGAGGGACAACGUCCUAUUUCUUGACCUGGCCGCUAGCUUUAUUCUUCUAACAUCUUCUACUCCCACGUACACAAUACAGAUUUUAGGAAGUUUUUUUUAUACUGCCACUGUGUGGCAGAGCUGGGGACAGAGCCCAGUGUGCACCCCAAGUCACACCUUGGCCCUGGCUGCAGCCUGGUUCUUGCAAAACCCAAACGAGUGGCCAGUUCAGGUCCAAUCAGUGAUCCUCUGCCAGCCUCCCCCCUGCUAGGCUGGCAGAGAGGGACCAGAUGCUGCCUGGCGGGGGGUAAGGCCUGGCCUAGAGGAGAAACACAAAACAGGGCCCAGCCCCUGGCAUCUGGUUUAUCUCAAUCUGACCCCACACUUGUCUUUUUUCUCUUUUAAUUUUGGCUUGGUUUGGUUUGGUUUAAAACAGGCUCUCAUUAUGUAAUCCAGGGUGGCCUCAAA
This is a long non-coding RNA of Cavia porcellus (domestic guinea pig), 2778 nucleotides long. RefSeq lists it as uncharacterized. The record is from RefSeq and is a predicted model, not a curated record. The transcript is spliced from 2 exons. Lineage: Eukaryota; Metazoa; Chordata; Mammalia; Rodentia; Caviidae.